Molecule: ribosomal RNA, 491 nt
Filed under: uncultured bacterium
Lineage: Bacteria
Description: partial 16S ribosomal RNA
Rfam family: Bacterial small subunit ribosomal RNA
Source: RNAcentral
AGUGAACGCUGGCGGUAGGCCUAACACAUGCAAGUCGAACGGCAGCACAGUAAGAGCUUGCUCUUACGGGUGGCGAGUGGCGGACGGGUGAGGAAUACAUCGGAAUCUACUUUUUCGUGGGGGAUAACGUAGGGAAACUUACGCUAAUACCGCAUACGACCUACGGGUGAAAUCAGGGGAUCUUCGGACCUUGCGCGAUUGAAUGAGCCGAUGUCGGAUUAGCUAGUUGGCGGGGUAAAGUCCCACCAAGGCGACGAUCCGUAGCUAGUCUGAGAGGAUGAUCAGCACAACUGAAACUGAACAACGGCCCAGACUCCUACGGAAGGAAGCAGUGGGGAAUAUUGGACAAUGGGGGAAAGCCUGAGCCAGCAAGACGGCGUGGGUGAAGAAGGCCUGCGGGUGGUAAAGCCCUUUUGUUGGGAAAGAAAAGCAGCAGGUUAAUACCCCGCUGUUCUGACGUUACCAAAAGAAUAAGCACCGGCAAACUUCGU